AAGUCGUAACAAGGUUUCCGUAGGUGAACCUUCGGAAGGAUCACCCCCUGUGAACUUUUACACUUGCUCUCGAAGCUCGCCGGAAUUGCUGGUAGUGAAAGUGUCAUUGAUUGUGUAAGGAUAACGCUUUUCGAUCACUAGAGGCCGACACCGGCCGGUCACCAGGUCGCAGUGGCUUCGGCCCCCUAUAUUCACCCCACUACCUUUAAUCGUAGGAAACUGCUUGGCAUCAAAACGAACAACUGUUAACAAUGGAUAUCUUGGUUCUC
This 269-nucleotide unclassified non-coding RNA is filed under the name fungal sp. Its description in RNAcentral is "partial internal transcribed spacer region". The stretch from base 1 to 46 matches the Rfam family "Eukaryotic small subunit ribosomal RNA", at positions 1786 to 1831 of the family's 1831-position model. The record is from RNAcentral. Lineage: Eukaryota; Fungi.